ACUCCCCAGGGUGCCAUCCCCUCUGGGUAAGCAUAGAUAACUCACCAGAAGCCCCUGCCAUCUCUUUCCUGAUGUGUCCAACAACAGAGAUUUCUCAGUCUUGUAAGAAACCGCUGAGGGGCAGCAGGUUUUCACAUGGAAACGGCCUUUCAAGUGUAAGGAAAGCUGGAGCUGUGAGUAUUACACAUUUGAUUAUUUUAAUGAAUUCCAUGCAUCAGCUCACUGAAGGUUAUAACAA
This 238-nucleotide long non-coding RNA is filed under the name Cyanistes caeruleus (blue tit). RNAcentral's name for it is "lncRNA (ENSCCEG00000016826.1)". Lineage: Eukaryota; Metazoa; Chordata; Aves; Passeriformes; Paridae. The record is from RNAcentral.